Molecule: ribosomal RNA, 414 nt
Filed under: uncultured bacterium
Lineage: Bacteria
Description: bacterial SSU rRNA
Rfam family: Bacterial small subunit ribosomal RNA
Source: RNAcentral
UCAGCUCGUGUCGUGAGAUGUUGGGUUAAGUCCCGCAACGAGCGCAACCCUUGUCAUUAGUUGCUACGCAAGAGCACUCUAAUGAGACUGCCGGUGACAAACCGGAGGAAGGUGGGGAUGACGUCAAGUCCUCAUGGCCCUUAUGGGUAGGGCUUCACACGUCAUACAAUGGUCGGGACAGAGGGUCGCCAACCCGCGAGGGGGAGCCAAUCUCAGAAACCCGAUCGUAGUCCGGAUCGCAGUCUGCAACUCGACUGCGUGAAGUCGGAAUCGCUAGUAAUCGCGGAUCAGAAUGUCGCGGUGAAUACGUUCCCGGGUCUUGUACACACCGCCCGUCACACCAUGGGAGUGGGUUUCACCAGAAGUAGGUAGCCUAACCGUAAGGAGGGCGCUUACCACGGUGGGAUUCAUGAC